RNAcentral lists this long non-coding RNA (558 nucleotides) under Ananas comosus (pineapple). RNAcentral's name for it is "long non-coding RNA (ACOM_LNC028873)". The record is from RNAcentral. Lineage: Eukaryota; Viridiplantae; Streptophyta; Magnoliopsida; Poales; Bromeliaceae.
UUAAAAAUAUCAUUCACUACUAUCUUAAGUUUUUAAAAAAUAAUGAUUGUUUUAUAUAAUUUAACAUGGUACCAGAAUUGAAGAUACUGAUCGAGUGACAAAAACGUUUGUUUCAUAUAAUUUAACACAGAAUCAGAGCUAGGGAUCGUAAGUCACUGUCACGCCCCGGGGUCCCUUUUUAUUUGAACACAGCGGAAAAAGCGUCUAAAUUUUUUUUUUUUUUUGAAAGCCUGACCCCAGAGUAUGCCAGAUCCGCCACAAACACAGGGAAUCCACUGUUCACACGGACAGAGUCUCCCCUGUAUUUGCACGGCGUCACACAAGUACAAGAAGUAACCCAGAUACAACCACGACCAAAUGAACAUACAAAUAACCAACAAUUAUAUGUUCAUACACCAUUCACAUCACAGGUUCACAUUUAUAUAUUCGAUAUUUAAACAUAAAUCCACAUCUAUCAGUUAAAAUGUUUCCAACCACAGAAACAGGUUUUGAAAUACUAAGAUGCAAAAUCCACAGAAAACCUUUUGAAAACUGUUUCCUACACGGAAACCUUUAUUC